GGGUUCAUUUUCAUUGUCUGAUGGGGUCGUCCCCUGUUGUUACAAGUCUAUGCCGAAAAGAGAAAGAUGUGCAAGUCUGAAAGGAAUCUUGAUUUAUAGCGAGAUCGUUCGCAAUACAUUUAUAAGUUUUUCAAAUCCCAGAGCUGUAGAAGGUCUGCUUCCUGUCAAGGUCCUCCGGAGAUGGAGUUAAUGAUCCCAAUUGGAGGCCG
This 209-nucleotide long non-coding RNA is filed under the name Elaeis guineensis (African oil palm). RNAcentral's name for it is "long non-coding RNA (EGUI_LNC072247)". Lineage: Eukaryota; Viridiplantae; Streptophyta; Magnoliopsida; Arecales; Arecaceae. The record is from RNAcentral.